Molecule: long non-coding RNA, 392 nt
Organism: Homalodisca vitripennis (glassy-winged sharpshooter)
Lineage: Eukaryota; Metazoa; Arthropoda; Insecta; Hemiptera; Cicadellidae
Exons: 3
Source: RefSeq, a predicted model, not a curated record
CACACAUCUCGCGUGGGUUCCUGUCAGACCAACACCAGUUCCGUGGUCGGCGAGGACUUCCAGAAAACCCUUACUACACAAUGGAGAAUGCAGUAUGUUCACGUUCCGAAAUAGACUGGAAGCGAAUCGUUCCUAAAACUACUCAUUGGUGCCAGGAUGUUUGCUCCUUGUUCUGACCAUGAUCGUGAUCGCAUGGAGAUGGACAUCUUCAGACGAAGAAAAAAAUAACGAGACUGACGAUGAAGUACGUAAACGUUUACUUUGGAAAUUAUACCAAAGAUUCGGAUUUUGCUCAAAGGUUGAAGUUUCAGCGGUCAUUUUAUAAAGGUUACUUUGGAGAAAAGGUAAGUUUUCUCUAUUCAGCUUAUUUUUAUUGUUGCUGUUGUAAAGUA